RNAcentral lists this ribosomal RNA (221 nucleotides) under uncultured bacterium. RNAcentral's name for it is "partial 16S ribosomal RNA". It matches the Rfam family "Bacterial small subunit ribosomal RNA", at positions 15 to 228 of the family's 1533-position model. The record is from RNAcentral.
GAUCAUGGCUCAGGACGAACGCUGGCGGCGUGCCUAAUACAUGCAAGUAGAACGCUGAAGGAGGAGCUUGCUUCUCUGGAUGAGUUGCGAACGGGUGAGUAACGCGUAGGUAACCUGCCUGGUAGCGGGGGAUAACUAUUGGAAACGAUAGCUAAUACCGCAUAACAGUAGAUAUCGCAUGAUAGCUGCUUGAAAGGUGCAAAUGCACCACUACCAGAUGG